RNAcentral lists this transfer RNA (67 nucleotides) under Matrona basilaris. Its description in RNAcentral is "tRNA-Leu". The record is from RNAcentral. Lineage: Eukaryota; Metazoa; Arthropoda; Insecta; Odonata; Calopterygidae.
UUUAAUGUGGCAGAAAAGUGCUAUGGAUUUAAGCUCCAUCCAUGAAGAGCUUAAUCUUCCAUUAAAA